ACGCUGAAGGAGGAGCUUGCUUCUCUGGAUGAGUUGCGAACGGGUGAGUAACGCGUAGGUAACCUGCCUGGUAGCGGGGGAUAACUAUUGGAAACGAUAGCUAAUACCGCAUAAUAGUAGAUGUUGCAUGACAUUUACUUAAAAGGUGCAAUUGCAUCACUACCAGAUGGACCUGCGUUGUAUUAGCUAGUUGGUGGGGUAACGGCUCACCAAGGCGACGAUACAUAGCCGACCUGAGAGGGUGAUCGGCCACACUGGGACUGAGACACGGCCCGGACUCCUACGGGAGGCAGCAGUAGGGAAUCUUCGGCAAUGGACGGAAGUCUGACCGAGCAACGCCGCGUGAGUGAAGAAGGUUUUCGGAUCGUAAAGCUCUGUUGUAAGAGAAGAACGAGUGUGAGAGUGGAAAGUUCACACUGUGACGGUAUCUUACCAGAAAGGGACGGCUAACUACGUGCCAGCAGCCGCGGUAAUACGUAGGUCCCGAGCGCUGUCCGGAUUUAUUGGGCGUAAAGCGAGCGCAGGCGGUUAGAUAAGUCUGAAGUUAAAGGCUGUGGCUUAACCAUAGUACGCUUUGGAAACUGUUUAACUUGAGUGCAAGAGGGGAGAGUGGAAUUCCAUGUGUAGCGGUGAAAUGCGUAGAUAUAUGGAGGAACACCGGUGGCGAAAGCGGCUCUCUGGCUUGUAACUGACGCUGAGGCUCGAAAGCGUGGGAGCAAACAGGAUUAGAUACCCUGGUAGUCCACGCCGUAAACGAUGAGUGCUAGGUGUUAGACCCU
Molecule: ribosomal RNA, 779 nt
Filed under: uncultured Streptococcus sp.
Lineage: Bacteria; Bacillati; Bacillota; Bacilli; Lactobacillales; Streptococcaceae
Description: bacterial SSU rRNA
Rfam family: Bacterial small subunit ribosomal RNA
Source: RNAcentral